AUUCAACAUACUUAAUGAUGUUUAAGUCUCAUACUCAUGUUCAAGACCACCCAUAUACAACUUAAAUUCAUUCAAAACUCAUCAACACUUCCAUCACUAAGGCUGCCAAAAAUUUUAAUUGGUCCAUACAUGGAUAUGUUCUUUUAAUUUCAUGAAUUUCUAACUAAAUCCAUAUACCUAACUUCAAAUUUAAAGAAAAAAAAUGGAGAGAUAUGGCACUAACCUCACUUGUGUCCAACUUGCCCUUGCCUAAACUUCAAUUUUCUUUCACUUCUUGGCUGCCACUAUCUUCCUCAAGGUGUGGGAUCAAUUUUUAUUGAAGUGAUCUAGGGUUUUUAAGGUGAAAUGGUGGGUGAACUCAAGCUUGGUGGAGCUUUAAUGGUGGUUUCUUUCUUCUCUUUCUCUCUUUUUUCCUUUGUUACGGCUGAUUGGGGAAGACAAGUGCAGAUUGGUUUUUCAUUUUGUCUCUUUUUUAUUUAGUUUUUAUCCCUUUAAGAGGCUUGUCAAUUUGUGAUUGGGUGGAGAGUGUUUAAUGACAUCAUAUGAUAUCAUAAUUACUAAUUUCUUUCAUUUUUCUUUCUUUUUCUUUUCUACUCAUUUUCAAU
RNAcentral lists this unclassified non-coding RNA (605 nucleotides) under Hevea brasiliensis (rubber tree). Lineage: Eukaryota; Viridiplantae; Streptophyta; Magnoliopsida; Malpighiales; Euphorbiaceae. The record is from RNAcentral.